This 201-nucleotide long non-coding RNA is filed under the name Elaeis guineensis (African oil palm). RNAcentral's name for it is "long non-coding RNA (EGUI_LNC035824)". The record is from RNAcentral. Lineage: Eukaryota; Viridiplantae; Streptophyta; Magnoliopsida; Arecales; Arecaceae.
UUCUCUAUGCCUCAUCCUCUCUCGUUCUUCUCUUUUCCACACCCAAGGGUUAAACGUCCAUCUUUCUAUACACCAAGAGUUGAGGAGGCUUUUUUCUAUAGUGAGGAAUGAAGAGAAAAAUACUGCAAUUCAAGAGUUGAGUUUGCAGUCAAGAUCAAAGAGUUGAUCAAAGUUUUAAAAGGCUAAGAUCCUACUUGGAAA